Engraulis encrasicolus (European anchovy) is the source of this 326-nucleotide long non-coding RNA. RefSeq lists it as uncharacterized. The transcript has 4 exons. NCBI's taxonomy places the organism in Eukaryota, Metazoa, Chordata, Actinopteri, Clupeiformes, Engraulidae. The record is from RefSeq and is a predicted model, not a curated record.
CCGCCCUGGAAGAAGUGAACUGACCGGAGUCUUCAACAAAAAUGAAGCUAUGAAAAAAGGAAGGAGACGUCCAGGACUGAACAGAGCUGUCACCUGUCACAGUGCAGUGCACCGACUGACUGACGCUAUUUGCUUGGAUGUUGCUGAAAGAAAGGAGGCAUUCUUCAUUGUGCACUAGCCUACUGUGGAGGCCGAGAGAGUUUUGACGAGGCUUCUGUACCCAGGAGGCGGAGGCAGCAAUGCCAGCUUCAAUGCGCACAGUCCUUUAAAAGGGACACCCAGCUAAGAUUUUAUUGCAAAUUCUACACAGAAUGCACUGCUCUACA